GGGCGGGCUGCGGCGCUUGGGGCGUGAGGCGCCUGCGUGGGGCUGGGCGGCCCGUGGGCGUGGGUGCUGGCCGCAAGGUCCCCACGCUGACCCCGAGGCGCCGCUAGUGGCCCCGCGCGCGGCCUUCCCACCCAAGCCGCCCCUCUCGGGCUCGUCUUUGGUCCCCGUGGCUUGGCGCGCCCGCAUUAACCGCUGUCUUCACUUUGGGGCUGCGCUGACCGCGAACGCUACGCCGGCCGUGGUGGCGGCGAGGCGCCUGUCUCGCACCUUUACGGGUGUUCACGCCUUUGCUUUGAAAUACAGCCCUAGAAGGACACGUGGUUGGCCCCGAAGGAGCCCCGGCAGCCAUGUCGGACUGCGAGGUGCUGAUACCAUGUAAACAUUGUCAUACCCAAACUCAGUCGCAGCAUCUGCUCCUGGAGAAACCGUUCUGCAACAGUUAAAGCUGUGAGAAGAUGGGAGUUGAGGCUGCAUGACUCACCAGUGGUGAAGUAGGGGGUGAACUAUUGAAAUGGAAUACCUAUGUGGGUAAAGUAUCAGACAUUUCAUACACGGCGAACGGAGUAGCUAUGAGGAAGGAAAAGGGGAUUGCUUAGUGCCACCGAGUCUCUUAAGAAUGGUGGACAGCCAUAUGCUUACCUGGCAGGGGCGAUACCAUGAUCACAAAGGUGGUUUUACCAGGGCGAGGCUUAUCCAUUGCACUCCGGAUGUGGUGACCCCUGCCGAUUUCCCCAAAUGUGGGAAACUCGACUGCAUAAUUUGUGGUAGUGGGACACUACGUUCACGCUCUCCCCUGAUCUCUUU
Long non-coding RNA from Sapajus apella (tufted capuchin), 804 nucleotides. RefSeq lists it as uncharacterized. Lineage: Eukaryota; Metazoa; Chordata; Mammalia; Primates; Cebidae. The record is from RefSeq and is a predicted model, not a curated record. The transcript has 2 exons.